GAUGAACGCUGGCGGCGUGCCUAAUACAUGCAAGUCGAGCGGACCUCUUCGGAGGUCAGCGGCGGACGGGUGAGUAACACGCGGGCAACCUGCCUGUAAGACUGGGAUAACUUCGGGAAACCGGAGCUAAUACCGGAUCAUGCCUUUUGCCACAUGGCGGAAGGCUGAAAGAUGGCGUAAGCUAUCACUUACAGAUGGGCCCGCGGCGCAUUAGCUAGUUGGUGAGGUAACGGCUCACCAAGGCGACGAUGCGUAGCCGACCUGAGAGGGUGAUCGGCCACACUGGGAAUGGGACACGGCCCAGACUCCUACGGGAGGCAGCAGUAGGGAAUCUUCCGCAAUGGACGAAAGUCUGACGGAGCAACGCCGCGUGAGCGAUGAAGGCCUUCGGGUCGUAAAGCUCUGUUGUCAGGGAAGAACAAGUACCGUUUGAAUAAGGCGGUACCUUGACGGUACCUGACCAGAAAGCCACGGCUAACUACGUGCCAGCCGCCGCCGUAA
RNAcentral lists this ribosomal RNA (501 nucleotides) under uncultured bacterium. Its description in RNAcentral is "partial 16S ribosomal RNA". It matches the Rfam family "Bacterial small subunit ribosomal RNA", at positions 28 to 523 of the family's 1533-position model. The record is from RNAcentral.